Molecule: ribosomal RNA, 498 nt
Filed under: uncultured bacterium
Lineage: Bacteria
Description: partial 16S ribosomal RNA
Rfam family: Bacterial small subunit ribosomal RNA
Source: RNAcentral
GAUGAACGCUGGCGGCGUGCCUAAUACAUGCAAGUCGAGCGAACAGACGAGAGUGCUUGCACUCUCUGACGUUAGCGGCGGACGGGUGAGUAACACGUGGGUAACCUACCUAUAAGACUGGGAUAACUUCGGGAAACCGGAGCUAAUACCGGAUAAUAUUUAGCUUCGCAUGAAGCAAUAGUGAAAGACGGUUCUGCUGUCACUUAUAGAUGGACCCGCGGUGUAUUAGCUAGUUGGUGAGGUAACGGCUCACCAAGGCAACGAUACAUAGCCGACCUGAGAGGGUGAUCGGCCACACUGGGACUGAGACACGGCCCAGACUCCUACGGGAGGCAGCAGUAGGGAAUCUUCCGCAAUGGACGGAAGUCUGACGGAGCAAUGCCGCGUGAGUGAAGAGGGUUUUCGGAUCGUAAAACUCUGUUGUAAGGGAAGAACAAGUACGUUAGUAACUGAACGUACCUUGACGGUACCUUACCAGAAAGCCACGGCUAACUACGU